UCAGGAUGAACGCUGGCGGCGUGCCUAAUACAUGCAAGUCGAGCGAACUGAUUAGAAGCUUGCUUCUAUGACGUUAGCGGCGGACGGGUGAGUAACACGUGGGCAACCUGCCUGUAAGACUGGGAUAACUUCGGGAAACCGAAGCUAAUACCGGAUAGGAUCUUCUCCUUCAUGGGAGAUGAUUGAAAGAUGGUUUCGGCUAUCACUUACAGAUGGGCCCGCGGUGCAUUAGCUAGUUGGUGAGGUAACGGCUCACCAAGGCAACGAUGCAUAGCCGACCUGAGAGGGUGAUCGGCCACACUGGGACUGAGACACGGCCCAGACUCCUACGGGAGGCAGCAGUAGGGAAUCUUCCGCAAUGGACGAAAGUCUGACGGAGCAACGCCGCGUGAGUGAUGAAGGCUUUCGGGUCGUAAAACUCUGUUGUUAGGGAAGAACAAGUACGAGAGUAACUGCUCGUACCUUGACGGUACCUAACCAGAAAGCCACGGCUAACUACGUGCCAGCAGCCGCGGUAAUACGUAGGUGGCAAGCGUUAUCCGGAAUUAUUGGGCGUAAAGCGCGCGCAGGCGGUUUCUUAAGUCUGAUGUGAAAGCCCACGGCUCAACCGUGGAGGGUCAUUGGAAACUGGGGAACUUGAGUGCAGAAGAGAAAAGCGGAAUUCCACGUGUAGCGGUGAAAUGCGUAGAGAUGUGGAGGAACACCAGUGGCGAAGGCGGCUUUUUGGUCUGUAACUGACGCUGAGGCGCGAAAGCGUGGGGAGCAAACAGGAUUAGAUACCCUGGUAGUCCACGCCGUAAACGAUGAGUGCUAAGUGUUAGAGGGUUUCCGCCCUUUAGUGCUGCAGCUAACGCAUUAAGCACUCCGCCUGGGGAGUACGGUCGCAAGACUGAAACUCAAAGGAAUUGACGGGGGCCCGCACAAGCGGUGGAGCAUGUGGUUUAAUUCGAAGCAACGCGAAGAACCUUACCAGGUCUUGACAUCCUCUGACAACUCUAGAGAUAGAGCGUUCCCCUUCGGGGGACAGAGUGACAGGUGGUGCAUGGUUGUCGUCAGCUCGUGUCGUGAGAUGUUGGGUUAAGUCCCGCAACGAGCGCAACCCUUGAUCUUAGUUGCCAGCAUUUAGUUGGGCACUCUAAGGUGACUGCCGGUGACAAACCGGAGGAAGGUGGGGAUGACGUCAAAUCAUCAUGCCCCUUAUGACCUGGGCUACACACGUGCUACAAUGGAUGGUACAAAGGGCUGCAAGACCGCGAGGUCAAGCCAAUCCCAUAAAACCAUUCUCAGUUCGGAUUGUAGGCUGCAACUCGCCUACAUGAAGCUGGAAUCGCUAGUAAUCGCGGAUCACAUGCGCGGGGGGAAAAACCUUUCCCGGGGCCUUGUACACACCGCCCGUCACACCACGAAGAGUUUGUAACACCCCGAAGUCGGGUGGAGUAACGUAAAGGAGCUAGCCGGCCUAAAGGUGGGACAGAUGAUUGGGGUGAU
RNAcentral lists this ribosomal RNA (1488 nucleotides) under Bacillus sp. RD_MOLAP_02. RNAcentral's name for it is "bacterial SSU rRNA". It matches the Rfam family "Bacterial small subunit ribosomal RNA". The record is from RNAcentral. Lineage: Bacteria; Bacillati; Bacillota; Bacilli; Caryophanales; Bacillaceae.